AUGGCCGUGAGGGUCCCCGCUCAGCUCCUGGGGCUCCUGCUGCUCUGGCUCCCAGGUUCCAGAUGUGACAUCCAGAUGACCCAGUCUCCAAGCUCUCAUUCUGCACCUGUAGGAGACACUGUCACCAUCAAUUGCAAGGCCAGUCAGAACAUAGGCAGUGUUUUAGCGUGGUAUCAACAGAAACCUGGGAAGGGGCCUAAACUUCUGAUCUAUGCUGCCAGCAUUCGACACGAUGGGGUCCCAACGAGGUUCAGCGGCAGUGGAUCAGGGCAAGAUUACACUCUCACCAUCAGCAGCCUGCAGCCUGAAGAUGUGGCCACUUAUUACUGCCAACAGGGUAACAGUCUCCCUCUCACAGUGAUACAAGCCAUGACAUAA
Octodon degus (degu) is the source of this 378-nucleotide non-coding RNA. Lineage: Eukaryota; Metazoa; Chordata; Mammalia; Rodentia; Octodontidae. The record is from the annotation of a RefSeq genome assembly.